UUGGAAACUAUAUUUGACAUGUGUGUGAUUUUGGAAACUAUAUUUGACAUGUGUGUGAUUUUGGAAACUAUAUUUGACAUAUGUGUGAUUUUGGAAACUAUAUUUGACAUAUGUGUGAUUUUGGAAACUAUAUUUGACAUAUGUGUGAUUUUGGAAACUAUAUUUGACAUGUGUGAUUUUGGAAACUAUAUUUGACAUGUGUGAUUUUGGAAACUAUAUUUGACAUAUGUGUGAUUUUGGAAACUAUAUUUGACAUGUGUGAGAUUUUGGAAACUAUAUUUGACAUAUGUGUGAUUUUGGAAACUAUAUUUGACAUGUGUGAGAUUUUGGAAACUAUAUUUGACAUAUGUGUGAUUUUGAACUACAGACACUUUCGGCAUUUCUUAUGAAAAUGUAAAAAGUUGUUUCUUGAAUACUUUUCUCAUUUUGUCAGGAAUCAUAAACUGGUAUUGGAUGUGACUAUUUUAUUCAACAAUUACAAUAGAUUUGACUGUUUUUCCAGAACCUUCUGCAGAUGUCAUUAGCAUCACAUCAUAAAACAUUAUAUAUUUUAUUUUAAAACUUUAUGACAAACAAUGGUUUUAUUUAAUCUGUCUAUAUGAUUUGGUGCUACCACAAUAAGAAACAUAUAUUUUAAUUUAUUAAUCCAUAAAUAUGUGCCUUUUGCUGGCUGAGCUUCUAUACCGGCACGGAGGCUACCAUCGACAAUGCAAUUUAUUGUUGAAAUUGUUAUAUAUUUAUAAUUUCUACAAUCGUUAUAUUGGGAACAAGUGCUUUACACUUGACAUAGACAGAAGUGUGCUAUUUCAUGUGUAAAUAUUUAUUUUCUUUAGAAUGCUGUGUCCACCUGACACAGCCAGAAGAGGACUUGCCACCCCUCAGAGCCUGGUUCCUCUUUCUAGGGAGUUUUUCCUAGCUUUUCCUUCUACACCUGCAUUGCUUGCUGUUUGGGGCUUUGGGCUGGGCUUCUGUACAGCACUUUGGGACAUCUGCUAAUGUAAAAAGUGCUUUAUAAAUACAUUUGAUUGAUUACAUUGUGGCAGUAAUGACGGGGUAAUGGUGUAUCGCAUUAGGAUAGUUGUUGAAAAUAAGUGGGAGGAAAUGGAUAUCUACACAUAAUCGAUUGCUAUAAAGACAGUAUAAUAUCAUGUAGUAAGCAGUAAUGAGCAGAGGUAUACAUUCUAUUCAGAAGUUAUACAAAAAGUCACUAUUUUGUAAUGGUAAUAACCCGGGAAAUGAUCAAUACCGACACAUUUUGUGUUGGAAAUGACAAUUAGUUAAUUUUUGUGAUUGAACUGCCAGUCCAUAAGGUUUCUCUUACUUGACUUAAAACCUUUUGCUUUUAGGGGAGCAUAGGUCAUUCACAAACUUCCCCUAUGCCGUUGUGAGUUCUCCAUGGCCCAAUCCAGCCCCAUUUCCUGCAUUUUAUUUGGAUUUCAUGUAGUUAUUGUUGUGCGACUUCCUAGAGCUCUUUGUUUCUUCUGGGUGUUUGACAAGUAUAUUGACAGGAUGUGUCUCAGGCAUUUGUUUAUGAAAGUUUGAUGUCUAUUGCUCGUUACGUUUGUGUUUCUCCACGUUUCUUCCCCGUAGAACUGAUUUGAUAUUGGAGUUGAAGAUGCAUAUUUGAUUUCUUGUUGAAAUGAUCUUGGAGGUCCAUAUUUGAUUUCUUGUUGAAAUGAUCUUGGAGGUCCAUAUUUGAUUUCUUGUUGAAAUGAUCUUGGAGGUCCAUAUUUGAUUUCUUGUUGAAAUGAUCUUGGAGGUCCAUAUUUGAUUUCUUGUUGAAAUGAUCUUGGAGGUCCAUAUUUGAUUUCUUGUUGAAAUGAUCUUGGAGGUCCAUAUUUGAUUUCUUGUUGAAAUGAUCUUGGAGGUCCAUAUUUGAUUUCUUGUUGAAAUGAUCUUGGAGGUCCAUAUUUGUCUUGACGUUUAAAAAAGCUCUUCUUGACUUCCCUAUUCUUGUUUGUCAGUCCGUCAUUUCCUCCAGCUUUCCCGAUUACACUUCCCAGGUCAGUGAAUAUAUGUUACUUCUCCCAGGUCAGUGAAUAUAUGUUACUUCUCCCAGGUCAGUGAAUAUAUGUUACUUCUCCCAGGUCAGUGAAUAUAUGUUACUUCUCCCAGGUCAGUGAAUAUAUGUUACUUCUCCCAGGUCAGUGAAUAUAUGUUACUUCUCCCAGGUCAGUGAAUAUAUGUUACUUCUCCCAGGUCAGUGAAUAUAUGUUACUUCUCCCAGGUCAGUGAAUAUAUGUUACUUCUCCCAGGUCAGUGAAUAUAUGUUACUUCUCCCAGGUCAGUGAAUAUAUGUUACUUCUCCCAGGUCAGUGAAUAUAUGUUACUUCUCCCAGGUCAGUGAAUAUAUGUUACUUCUCCCAGGUCAGUGAAUAUAUAUGUUACUUCUCCCAGGUCAGUGAAUAUAUAUGUUACUUCUCCCAGGUCAGUGAAUAUAUAUGUUACUUCUCCCAGGUCAGUGAAUAUAUAUGUUACUUCUCCCAGGUCAGUGAAUAUAUAUGUUACUUCUCCCAGGUCAGUGAAUAUAUAUGUUACUUCUCCCAGGUCAGUGAAUAUAUAUGUUACUUCUCCCAGGUCAGUGAAUAUAUAUGUUACUUCUCCCAGGUCAGUGAAUAUAUAUGUUACUUCUCCCAGGUCAGUGAAUAUAUAUGUUACUUCUCCCAGGUCAGUGAAUAUAUAUGUUACUUCUCCCAGGUCAGUGAAUAUAUGUUACUUCUCCCAGGUCAGUGAAUAUAUGUUACUUCUCCCAGGUCAGUGAAUAUAUGUUACUUCUCCCAGGUCAGUGAAUAUAUGUUACUUCUCCCAGGUCAGUGAAUAUAUGUUACUUCUCCCAGGUCAGUGAAUAUAUGUUACUUCUCCCAGGUCAGUGAAUAUAUGUUACUUCUCCCAGGUCAGUGAAUAUAUGUUACUUCUCCCAGGUCAGUGAAUAUAUGUUACUUCUCCC
Molecule: long non-coding RNA, 2947 nt
Organism: Oncorhynchus keta (chum salmon)
Lineage: Eukaryota; Metazoa; Chordata; Actinopteri; Salmoniformes; Salmonidae
Exons: 4
Source: RefSeq, a predicted model, not a curated record